AGCGAACGCUGGCGGCAGGCUUAACACAUGCAGGUCGAGCGGGCAUCUUCGGGUGUCAGCGGCGGACGGGUGAGUAACGCGUGGGAACGUGCCUUCUGGUUCGGAAUAACUCAGGGAAACUUGAGCUAAUACCGGAUACGCCCUUUUGGGGAAAGGUUUACUGCCGGAAGAUCGGCCCGCGUCUGAUUAGUUAGUUGGUGGGGUAACGGCUUGCCAAGGCGACGAUCAGUAGCUGGUCUGAGAGGAUGAUCAGCCACACUGGGACUGAGACACGGCCCAGACUCCUACGGGAGGCAGCAGUGGGGAAUAUUGGACAAUGGGGGCAACCCUGAUCCAGCCAUGCCGCGUGAGUGAUGAAGGCCUUAGGGUUGUAAAGCUCUUUUAUCCGGGACGAUAAUGACGGUACCGGAGGAAUAAGCCCCGGCUAACUUCGUGCCAGCAGCCGCCGUAA
RNAcentral lists this ribosomal RNA (451 nucleotides) under uncultured bacterium. RNAcentral's name for it is "partial 16S ribosomal RNA". It matches the Rfam family "Bacterial small subunit ribosomal RNA", at positions 29 to 523 of the family's 1533-position model. The record is from RNAcentral.